This is a long non-coding RNA of Mauremys mutica (yellowpond turtle), 2027 nucleotides long. RefSeq lists it as uncharacterized. NCBI's taxonomy places the organism in Eukaryota, Metazoa, Chordata, Testudines, Geoemydidae. The transcript has 3 exons. The record is from RefSeq and is a predicted model, not a curated record.
AAGCUGCAUGUGAUCUUGUUGACUGUGCUAGUACCUUGAUCAGUGGAGUUACAUUGGUCAUGUCAUAGCACAAACGUAUACAGGAGGAAAUCCAUGGCAACAUUCUUUGAGAUAAAACCGGAAGACUCUUUGUCUUGUCUGCAACCACCAUGAACAGUUGUGAGUAUGACUUAAAUAGUUUAGUCCUAUCCAAGUGAAUGCUAACACUGUCCUAACAUCCAACAUGUGGAAUCUUUCCUCAUCCUUAUGAGCAUGAGGCCUAGGGAAGAAAGUUGGUAAGUAAAUUGCUUGAUUGAUAUGGAAGUGAGAAAUCACUUUGGUGAGAAAUUUUGGAUGAAGGCAUAAGUAUACCUUGUCCUUGUAGAAGACUGUAUAUAGUAGGUCAUACCAGGGGUCUCAUUUCUCCUGCUCUCCUUACAGAGAUAACUGCCACCAAAAAUGCUACAUUCAUUGAAAGAUGAAGAAACGAACACAUAAACAUUUGAUCAAAGGGUGAACCCAUUAGCUUUUCUAGCACCAGGUUUAAGUCCCAAGGGGGAACAGGAUCCUCUACCUGAGGGUAUAAGUGGUCAAGAUCCUCCAAAAUCCCAAGAGACAUGGAAUUGGAGCAAAGUGAGUGAUUAUUAUUCGGUGGGUGAAAAUCACAGAUAGCUCCUAGGUGCAUCCUGAUGGAACUAAUGGCAAGAGCUUGCUGCUUCAGGUAUAACAAAUAGUCCAGCACGUGUUGUAUUGGAGCCAGGAGAAACACCUUUUCCCUGAGACCAGAAGAAGAAUCUUUUCCAUGUCAACAGGUAAGCGUACCUAGUAGACAGUUUUAGUGGUCAUUGCCUUCCUAUGAAAACAAGGCAUCACCAUUUUUCCAUUUGUGGAUGAUUGCCUUCUCAAAAUGUCAUCUGAGAAUGAGGCGCUCCUAGCAGUCCAUACUACAAUGACUCUCUUCACAAAACUGGGUCUCCUUAUCAAAAAGUCCUCACUAACACCAGUGAAAACACUGGAAUUCAUUGGCACUUUACUUGACGCCAAGCCGGAGGAGCAUUUCUACCAUCUCACAGGUUCACACUGAUGACACAACCAGUCUUAACCGCCCGAGCGUGCCCCCAAAUCCCAGCACAUACAUGUCUCUGACUCCAGACGCAAAGGCACUGCUGCAUCUACAGUGGAGCACCCCUGGGGACCACACAUCUCAAAGAACCUCGGUUACUGCUCAAGGUGAGUAAUCCUCUCUUUUAUUGGUUUAUCCCAGUUGCCUCUCAAAAUGUGACUAUUCCCAGGAUUUAAGCAAUGUACCACUGAGAGGGCAGUAAUACCUGUGAGUGAAAAAUACUCAAGUUGUUUAAUUUCUUUGGAAGAGGGACAUGUCAGGGAUAAAUGCUCCAUUUGUUCCUCUUUCCCAACAAGAACAAAUCUAGGGAAUUCCACCUUAGGAAGUACUUUCUGGAGGGAGCACUCAAAACGGUGAUGUGUCCCUCUUCAGAAUUUGGCCUGAAUCACAAGAGGAUGGAGAGCUCUUCCACAAAGAUCACACCUCUGGAUACUUCGACCUCAAAACCAAAGACUGGAGAAAAGAGCAGCUUUUCUUCUUCUCCUGUGGUGUCCUCGAAGCAGAAGUUCUUCUCUGAAUGAUUGUACAUGUCCAUUCCACUUCAGGCAGUGGGAACACUUCUGAGGCACACGUCCCUCUUCCAGGCAGUGGAUACACCGUGCGUGGCCGUCCAUUAUAGAGAAGAUGUCUCCACACAAGACACACUGCUUAAACCCAGGAGGAAGAAGCAGAAAAAGGAAACCAAGGAGCUAACUAACUACACCUCUACCUUGAUAUAACGCGACCUGAUAUAACACGAAUUCGGAUAUAACGCGGCAAAGCAGCACUCCGGGGGGGGGCAGGGCUGCACACUCCGGACGAUCAAAGCAAGUUUCACCUAUAACGCGGUAAGAUUUUUUGGCUCCCGAGGACAGUGUUAUAUUGGGGUAGAGGUGUAUGAGAGAAAAAGAGGUAAGAGACUACGCAGAUAACAAUGUGGGCUCUG